Molecule: ribosomal RNA, 37 nt
Filed under: Erysiphe pisi
Lineage: Eukaryota; Fungi; Ascomycota; Leotiomycetes; Helotiales; Erysiphaceae
Also listed under: 14 other names
Description: partial small subunit ribosomal RNA
Source: RNAcentral
UACCUGGUUGAUUCUGCCAGUAGUCAUAUGCUUGUCU